This 497-nucleotide ribosomal RNA is filed under the name uncultured bacterium. Its description in RNAcentral is "partial 16S ribosomal RNA". It matches the Rfam family "Bacterial small subunit ribosomal RNA", at positions 28 to 507 of the family's 1533-position model. The record is from RNAcentral.
GAUGAACGCUGGCGGCGUGCCUAAUACAUGCAAGUAGAACGCCGAAGCUUGGUGCCUGCACCGAGCGGAUGAGUUGCGAACGGGUGAGUAACGCGUAGGUAACCUGCCUCUUAGCGGGGGAUAACUAUUGGAAACGAUAGCUAAUACCGCAUAAAAGUCGAUAUCGCAUGAUAUUGAUUUGAAAGGUGCAAAUGCAUCACUAAGAGAUGGACCUGCGUUGUAUUAGCUAGUUGGUGAGGUAACGGCUCACCAAGGCGACGAUACAUAGCCGACCUGAGAGGGUGAUCGGCCACACUGGGACUGAGACACGGCCCAGACUCCUACGGGAGGCAGCAGUAGGGAAUCUUCGGCAAUGGGGGCAACCCUGACCGAGCAACGCCGCGUGAGUGAAGAAGGUUUUCGGAUCGUAAAGCUCUGUUGUAAGAGAAGAACGAGUGUGAGAGUGGAAAGUUCACACUGUGACGGUAACUUACCAGAAAGGGACGGCUAACUACGUG